UAUACAAAGAAGAGUUUGAUCCUGGCUCAGGAUGAACGCUAGCGAUAGGCCUAACACAUGCAAGUCGAGGGGCAGCAUAGAGUAGCAAUACUUUGAUGGCGACCGGCGCACGGGUGAGUAACACGUAUGCAACCUACCUACAUCAGGGGAAUAACCCGGAGAAAUUCGGACUAAUACCGCAUAAUACAGGGAUGCCGCAUGGCAAUAUUUGUUAAAGAUUUAUCGGAUGUAGAUGGGCAUGCGUUCCAUUAGCUAGUUGGUAAGGUAACGGCUUACCAAGGCAACGAUGGAUAGGGGAACUGAGAGGUUUGUCCCCCACACUGGAACUGAGACACGGACCAGACUCCUACGGGAGGCAGCAGUGAGGAAUAUUGGUCAAUGGACGAGAGUCUGAACCAGCCAAAUCGCGUGAAGGAAGACUGCCCUACGGGUUGUAAACUUCUUUUGUACAGGAAUAAAAGACAUUACGUGUAAUGUAUUGCAUGUACUGUACGAAUAAGCAUCGGCUAACUCCGUGCCAGCAGCCGCGGUAAUACGGAGGAUGCGAGCGUUAUCCGGAUUUAUUGGGUUUAAAGGGUGCGCAGGCGGGAUUUUAAGUCAGCGGUGAAAUUUUCAGGCUCAACCUGAACACUGCCGUUGAAACUGGGAUUCUUGAGUAUGGAUGAAGUAGGCGGAAUUCGUUGUGUAGCGGUGACAUGCUUAGAUAUAACGAGGAACUCCGAUUGCGUAGGCAGCUUACUAAGCCAUAACUGACGCUCAAGCACGAAAGCGUGGGGAUCAAACAGGAUUAGAUACCCUGGUAGUCCACGCCGUAAACGAUGAUUACUAGUUGUUUGCGAUAUACCGUAAGUGACUAAGCGAAAGCGAUAAGUAAUCCACCUGGGGAGUACGCCGGCAACGGUGAAACUCAAAGGAAUUGACGGGGGCCCGCACAAGCGGAGGAACAUGUGGUUUAAUUCGAUGAUACGCGAGGAACCUUACCCGGGCUUGAAAUGUACCUGACCGUCCUUGAAAAGGGACUUCUAGCAAUAGCAGGUAUGUAGGUGCUGCAUGGUUGUCGUCAGCUCGUGCCGUGAGGUGUCGGCUUAAGUGCCAUAACGAGCGCAACCCACAUUAUUAGUUACUAACAGGUUAAGCUGAGGACUCUAAUAAGACUGCCGUCGUAAGAUGCGAGGAAGGUGUGGAUGACGUCAAAUCAGCACGGCCCUUACGUCCGGGGCGACACACGUGUUACAAUGGGAGGUACAAAGGGCUGCUACCUGGUGACAGGAUGCUAAUCCCCAAAGCCUCUCCCAGUUCGGAUCGGAGUCUGCAACUCGACUCCGUGAAGCUGGAUUCGCUAGUAAUCGCGCAUCAGCCAUGGCGCGGUGAAUACGUUCCCGGGCCUUGUACACACCGCCCGUCAAGCCAUGGGAGCCGGGGGUAUCUGAAGUGCGUAACCGCAAGGAGCGUCCUAGGGUAAAACUGGUGACUGGGGCUAAGUCGUAACAAGGUAGCCGUACCGGAAGGUGCGGCUGGAACACCUCCUUU
RNAcentral lists this ribosomal RNA (1530 nucleotides) under Dysgonomonas mossii. RNAcentral describes it as "bacterial SSU rRNA". It matches the Rfam family "Bacterial small subunit ribosomal RNA". Lineage: Bacteria; Pseudomonadati; Bacteroidota; Bacteroidia; Bacteroidales; Dysgonomonadaceae. The record is from RNAcentral.